CCUACGGGUGGCAGCAGUGAGGAAUAUUGGUCAAUGGGCGGGAGCCUGAACCAGCCAAGCCGCGUGAGGGAAGAAGGUACAGCGUAUCGUAAACCUCUUUUGUCAGGGAACAAAGGCGGGGACUAGUCCCCGGCUGAGGGUACCUGAAGAAAAAGCAUCGGCUAACUCCGUGCCAGCAGCCGCGGUAAUACGGAGGAUGCGAGCGUUAUCCGGAUUUAUGGGGGUUAAAGGGUGCGCAGGCGGCCUGUUAAGUCAGCGGGAAAAGCCCGGGGCUCAACCCCGGCGAGCCGUUGAAACUGGCGGUCUGGAGUUGGAGAGAAGUACGCGGAAGGCGCGGUGUAGCGGUGAAAUGCUUAGAUAUCGCGCAGAACCCCGAUGGCGAAGGCAGCGUACCGGCUCCACACUGACGCUGAGGCACGAAAGCGUGGGUAUCGAACAGGAUUAGAUACCCCUGUAGUC
This 459-nucleotide ribosomal RNA is filed under the name uncultured bacterium. RNAcentral's name for it is "partial 16S ribosomal RNA". It matches the Rfam family "Bacterial small subunit ribosomal RNA", at positions 338 to 795 of the family's 1533-position model. The record is from RNAcentral.